AUUCUUUCACUUGGAUUUAGUAGGACAAGGCUGGCACAGAUACCUGUGCACAGAGAAGGCUUAGAAGAGCCCAGAGGCAUUUCCCUGAUGCCCACUUUGAAGCACCUACACCUCAGAGGUCAGGGGUAAUAGUCACACUUUCUUCUUCAUGCCUUGGUUAUCCAAGUCUCCAUGCAGAGCUUUAGAUGUCAUGAAUGCUGAAUUUGUCUGCGAUCAACAUACCACAACACCAAUCAGUCCUGUGGCACAAAUGGAAGUAAAUUAUUACCUUGCUCACCGUACAGAAAGUAAGGAACUGAACUUCAUGACUGUUUCCAAGGAAAUAAAUAGAAGGCAUUACUUUCGGAGCAACCUACAUAUCAUAUCAUAAUCAUAGAAUGGCCUGGGUUGAAAAGGACCAUAAUGAUCAUCGAGUUUCAACCCCCCUGCUAUGUGCAGGGUCGCCAACCACCAGACCAGGCUGCCCAGAGCCACAUCCAGCCUGACCUUGAAUGCCUCCAGGGAUGGGGCAUCCACAACCUCCUCGGGCAACCUGUUCCAGUGCGUCACCACCCUCUGUGUGAAAAACUUCCUCCAAAUAUCUAACUUAAACCUACCCUGUCUCAGUUUAAGACCAUUCCUCAUUGUCAUCUCACUAUCCA
Gallus gallus (chicken) is the source of this 641-nucleotide long non-coding RNA. Lineage: Eukaryota; Metazoa; Chordata; Aves; Galliformes; Phasianidae. The record is from Ensembl.